UACAGUGUAGACCCUGCUUCACGG
This 24-nucleotide non-coding RNA is filed under the name Cricetulus griseus (Chinese hamster). The record is from RNAcentral. Lineage: Eukaryota; Metazoa; Chordata; Mammalia; Rodentia; Cricetidae.